RNAcentral lists this microRNA precursor (131 nucleotides) under Vitis vinifera (wine grape). RNAcentral describes it as "MIR845_2 microRNA precursor family". It matches the Rfam family "MIR845_2 microRNA precursor family". Lineage: Eukaryota; Viridiplantae; Streptophyta; Magnoliopsida; Vitales; Vitaceae. The record is from Rfam by way of RNAcentral.
AGAAUGCACAUUAAUUAUCCUUGGGGCCAAGAAAUAAACAAAAACCCUACAAAAACAAGUUAACACACCCUAGAAUGGUUCUAGCACAAUUACUAACUUAUUUCUCUAAUACCAGUCAAAGGGAAAAACCC